Molecule: ribosomal RNA, 711 nt
Filed under: Bacillus sp. FJAT-4605
Lineage: Bacteria; Bacillati; Bacillota; Bacilli; Caryophanales; Bacillaceae
Description: bacterial SSU rRNA
Rfam family: Bacterial small subunit ribosomal RNA
Source: RNAcentral
AAGUCGAGCGGACAGAAGGGAGCUUGCUCCCGGAUGUUAGCGGCGGACGGGUGAGUAACACGUGGGUAACCUGCCUGUAAGACUGGGAUAACUCCGGGAAACCGGAGCUAAUACCGGAUAGUUCCUUGAACCGCAUGGUUCAAGGAUGAAAGACGGUUUCGGCUGUCACUUACAGAUGGACCCGCGGCGCAUUAGCUAGUUGGUGGGGUAAUGGCUCACCAAGGCGACGAUGCGUAGCCGACCUGAGAGGGUGAUCGGCCACACUGGGACUGAGACACGGCCCAGACUCCUACGGGAGGCAGCAGUAGGGAAUCUUCCGCAAUGGACGAAAGUCUGACGGAGCAACGCCGCGUGAGUGAUGAAGGUUUUCGGAUCGUAAAGCUCUGUUGUUAGGGAAGAACAAGUGCGAGAGUAACUGCUCGCACCUUGACGGUACCUAACCAGAAAGCCACGGCUAACUACGUGCCAGCAGCCGCGGUAAUACGUAGGUGGCAAGCGUUGUCCGGAAUUAUUGGGCGUAAAGGGCUCGCAGGCGGUUUCUUAAGUCUGAUGUGAAAGCCCCCGGCUCAACCGGGGAGGGUCAUUGGAAACUGGGAAACUUGAGUGCAGAAGAGGAGAGUGGAAUUCCACGUGUAGCGGUGAAAUGCGUAGAGAUGUGGAGGAACACCAGUGGCGAAGGCGACUCUCUGGUCUGUAACUGACGCUGAGGAG